ACCCCAUUUCAAGGCAAAAGAGCCCAAGAAUAGUACAAAUGGGCUCGACAUGGGUUGAACAUAGGGUUUUUGGCCUGAGCAUGCAAGUGUAUGGCCGGGUCAAUAAGUACGUGAUCAAUAUGUUGGGAAAAGCAGUAAUGGCCGAGCAAACCGAAAAGGAUAGGCUCAAUCUUCUCCCGCGAAGUUACUGGUCAAGAUACUAUGUCGAAUGCGACACUGCUAAAUUAUUCCAAAAGGCAUUUGAAACUCCAUUGGCGUUAUCUGUUCACCUGAGGGAGACAAUGAUAGGAUUCCAUCUUGACCGAAUUCACAUGGUAUUUUCGUAGUCCAGUAAACAAGC
Long non-coding RNA from Triticum dicoccoides, 340 nucleotides. RefSeq lists it as uncharacterized. The record is from RefSeq and is a predicted model, not a curated record. The transcript is spliced from 3 exons. Lineage: Eukaryota; Viridiplantae; Streptophyta; Magnoliopsida; Poales; Poaceae.